CAUGAAAGAUGGGCACUCUGGCGAGACUGCCGUUGACAAAACGGAGGAAGGUGGGGACGACGUCAAAUCAUCAUGCCCCUUAUGUCCUGGGCUACACACGUACUACAAUGGCAACAACAGAGGGCGGCGAGGCCGCGAGGCCAAGCGAAUCCCAAAAUGUUGUCUCAGUUCAGAUUGCAGGCUGCAACUCGCCUGCAUGAAGUCGGAAUUGCUAGUAAUGGCAGGUCAGCAUACUGCCGUGAAUACGUUCCCGGGCCUU
RNAcentral lists this ribosomal RNA (259 nucleotides) under uncultured Fastidiosipila sp. Its description in RNAcentral is "partial 16S ribosomal RNA". It matches the Rfam family "Bacterial small subunit ribosomal RNA", at positions 1122 to 1382 of the family's 1533-position model. Lineage: Bacteria; Bacillati; Bacillota; Clostridia; Eubacteriales; Oscillospiraceae. The record is from RNAcentral.